RNAcentral lists this ribosomal RNA (3519 nucleotides) under Candidatus Curtissbacteria bacterium RIFCSPLOWO2_02_FULL_42_37. RNAcentral's name for it is "bacterial LSU rRNA". It matches the Rfam family "Bacterial large subunit ribosomal RNA". The record is from RNAcentral. Lineage: Bacteria; Candidatus Curtissiibacteriota.
AACGGAUGCCUAGGUGCAACACACCGAAGAAGGACGUGGAGGGCUGCGAUAAGCGCCGGGGAGCUGCCGUCAAGCUUUGAUCCGGCGAUUUCCGAAUGGAGAAAUCCGCUUGUGCUCCGCACAAGAAUUUUCAAAUAUAAAUUUUCAAUUUUCAUUGAAAAUAAUGUAAACAAGGACUAAAGUCGAGAAAUUGUAAAGCGAAGUUUUGCUUCGCAAAAUUGGAAAUUCCUGCGCGAGGCAUAAGCACUUUUGUGCGAAUACAUAAGCGCAAGAGAGGGUACCGUCUGAACUGAAACAUCUAAGUAAGGCGAGGAAAAGAAAAUAAGUAAUGAUUCCCCAAGUAGUGGCGAGCGAAAGGGGAAAAGCCUAAACCCUUCGAUUCGAUUUUGCUCCGCAAAAUCUCACUCAGGGCUAUAGCCCGGUAAGAUUAAAGGGGUCAUUGACCCCGAGCGAGGCAAAGCCGAGUCGAGGGGGGUUGCGGGACUCAAAUGUGAGACUGUUGCGAAUAGCAGAAUAACCUGGAAUGGUUGGCCAUAGAGAGUGAAAGCCUCGUAUGCGAAAUUCUAAAUAGCUCUAUGAGUAUCCCAAGUAUUGCGGGACACGCGAAAUCCUGUAAGAAUCCGGCUCGACCAUGAGCCAAGGCUAAAUAUGUGUUGCGACCGAUAGUGAACUAGUACCGUGAGGGAAAGGUGAAAGAGUACCCCGGAAGGGGAAUGAAAAGUACCUGAAAUUAGACGCUAACAAGCAGUGGGAGCCCCUCACCUUUGCUGAAGAUUGUGGUUUGUGAUUCGAACCAAAGGUAGAUAAUAUGUCGGCAAAUAGCCUUUGUAGUUUCGAGUAUCCAAAUCAAUUCGGUAGCAAAGGUGAGGGGUGACCGCGUGCCUAUUGAAGAAUGAACCGGUGAGUUUACGUUUAAGUGCGAGUCUAAGCCCGCCCUUUUUGGACAGUAGAUUGACAAGUAGAGUUUCUCGACUAAAGUAUCUGAGAAUUUACAGUUCAGUUUAGUGGCAAAAAGAGCGGGUGUAGGCGCAGGGAAACCAAGUCUUAAGAGGGCGUUUAGCGCUGAACGUAAGACCCGAAACCGCGUGAGCUAACCAUGACCAGGAUGAAGUCCCGCUAACGCGGGAUGGAGGUCCGAACCCAUGUCAGUUGCAAGUGGCUGGGAUGAGUUGUGGUUAGGGGUGAUAUGCCAAUCGAACGCGGAGAUAGCUGGUUCUCCCCGAAAUAUAUUUAGGUAUAGCCUUAUCGUCCCGCCCGCCUUUGGCGAGGCGGGGCCCCCGGAGGGGUAGAGCUCUGGAUGGUUUGUGCAGAGCAAUCCGUGCAAACCAAUCAAACUACGAAUACUCUUGGGGAUGAAGGUAAGAGUCAGUCCGACCCGGAUAAGCGGGCCAGGGCUAAAGGGAAACAACCCAGAUCCAAAGCUAAGGUCCCUAAGUGUGUCUUAAGUGUUAAAGGUAGUGUCCGCGCUUAGACAGCAAGGAGGUUGGCUUAGAGGCAGCCAUCCUUUAAAGAAAGCGUAACAGCUCACUUGUCGAUUCCCGUCCAUUGGACGGGAGGGUGCGGGUGCGCCGACAAUGUAACGGGGCUAAAAGAUACCACCGAAGCUUGGGGAUCGCAUGCAUGGCAUGCGAUUACGAAUGGAUGCGAAUGCCUGACGGUGAUUUAAGAUUAUUCGCAAAAAUUCGCAUAACAAUGAGUAGUUACGAAAGUAAUUCUCAUCAUGCGAAUGAAAACGAAUAUUUUAGAUCUGUUAGGACCAUCUGCAUAAAUUAGUAGUCGCCUGCCGUGCAGGCGAUCGGUAGGGGAGCGUUUGCAUCAGCUGUGAAGCCCUUCCGAGAGGUCAGGGUGGAGCGAUGCGAAGUGAGAAUGCCGGUAUGAGUAGCGAAAGUCCCGUGAGAAUCGGGACCGCCGUAUGUCCAAGGUUUCCUACGCAACGUUCGUCGACGUAGGGUUAGUCGGUCCUAAGGCGAGGCCAGAAGGCGUAGUCGAUGGACAAGCCGUUAAUAUUCGGCUACUUUGGCAAAAUCGUUAGGAGUAAAGGGAAGACGGAGAUGGAAUGCUUCUAGGUCGAAAUGAUACGGCCUCUAAAAAGCGAGAAAGUGAGAUGUGGAAAAUCCCUUUUCAUGAUUAUUCGAGCUUUGAUGGCUAGUUACCGCAAGGUGGCAAGGGAAGUAGUUUUAACUUCCAAGAAAUUUUCUCGUUACCAGAUUUUGUCAAAACCGUACCUAAACCGACACAGGUGGACUGGUAUUAGAGUACUAAGGCGAGCGGAAGAACCUUCCUUAAGGAACUCGGCAAUAUAACUGGACGUACCUUUGGUAGAUGUCCUCCCCCGAUUUAAUCGGGGGCGCAGUUAACGACGCCAAGCGACUGUUUAACAAAAACACAGGUCUCUGCAAAGUCGAAAGACGAAGUAUAGGGGCUGACGCCUGCCCAGUGCUCGUAGGUCAACUAUUUUGGGUGACCCCGCUUAGCGGGGAAGCUCGAGAUAUAAGCCCGAGUGAACGGCAGCAGUAACUAUAACUGUUCUAAGGUAGCGAAAUUCCUUGUCGGGUAAGUUCCGACCUGCACGAAAGGCUGAACGACUUGGCGACUGUCUUAAAGAAGGAUCCGGCGAAAUUGCAAUGGCUGUGAAGAUGCGGCCAACUUACACCAGGACAAAAAGACCCCGUGGAGCUUUACUGCAACUUGACAUUGUUUCAAUUAUUGGGAUUGUAUAGGAUAGGUGGGACCCCGCCCUUUCUGUGUUUAAUUGACAGAAAUGGUUUAAAUUGAGCCCGGAAAGGGCGGGGGACAGUGUAAUACCACUCUUCUUGACAGUUGGAACUUACUGUUUGUCCUAGCAAAAAAACGGGAGACAGGACACUGUCUGGUGGGCAGUUUGACUGGGGCGGUCGCCUCCAAAAAGGUAACGGAGGCGCACUCAAGGUCGACUCAAGUCCUACAGAAACGGACUUAGCGAGUGUAAAGGCAUAAGUCGGCUUGACUGCAAGUGGUACAUCACGAGCAGGUGCGAAAGCAGGUCUUAGUGAUCCUCACGUGGCUUAUGGGAGCGCGUGAGCUUAACNNNNNNNNNNNNNNNGGAGCGCGUGAGCUUAACGGAUAAAAGCUACCCCGGGGAUAACAGGCUGAUCUUCCCCAAGAGUCCAUAUCGACGGGAAGGUUUGGCACCUCGAUGUCGGCUCACCGUAUCCUCCCCGUGAAGUAGCGGGGAAGGGUUGGGCUGUUCGCCCAUUAAAACGGUACGCGAGCUGGGUUCAGAACGGCGUGAGCCAGUUCGGCCUCUAUCCGGUGUAAGCGUUUGAUAUUUGAGAGGGGUCACCACUAGUACGAGAGGACCGUGGCGAGCGAACCUCUAGUGUGCCAGUUGUCACAUCAGUGGCAGUGCUGGGUAGCCACGUUCGUAACUGAGAAGCGCUGAAAGCAUCUAAGCGCCAAACAGGCCUCAAGACGAGAUAUCGAAGAUCCCUGGAAGACUACCAGGUUGAUAGGCGGCAGGUGUAAAAUUAGCAAUAAUUG